UGGGGAAUUUUGGACAAUGGCGAAAGCCUGAUCCAGCCAUGCCGCGUGAGUGAAGAAGGCCUUCGGGUUGUAAAGCUCUUUUAGUCGGAAAGAAAGAGUUGCAAUGAAUAAUUGUGAUUUAUGACGGUACCGACAGAAAAAGCACCGGCUAACUACGUGCCAGCAGCCGCGGUCAUACGUAGGGUGCGAGCGUUAAUCGGAAUUACUGGGCGUAAAGGGUGCGCAGGCGGUCUUGCAAGUCAGAUGUGAAAGCCCCGGGCUUAACCUGGGAAUUGCGUUUGAAACUACAAGGCUAGAGUGCAGCAGAGGGGAGUGGAAUUCCAUGUGUAGCAGUGAAAUGCGUAGAGAUGUGGAAGAACACCGAUGGCGAAGGCAGCUCCCUGGGUUGACACUGACGCUCAUGCACGAAAGCGUGGGGAGCAAACA
This 426-nucleotide ribosomal RNA is filed under the name uncultured beta proteobacterium. Its description in RNAcentral is "bacterial SSU rRNA". It matches the Rfam family "Bacterial small subunit ribosomal RNA", at positions 355 to 774 of the family's 1533-position model. Lineage: Bacteria; Pseudomonadati; Pseudomonadota; Betaproteobacteria. The record is from RNAcentral.